RNAcentral lists this transfer RNA (73 nucleotides) under Bos taurus (domestic cattle). It matches the Rfam family "tRNA". Rfam says of the family: Transfer RNA (tRNA) molecules are approximately 80 nucleotides in length. Their secondary structure includes four short double-helical elements and three loops (D, anti-codon, and T loops). Lineage: Eukaryota; Metazoa; Chordata; Mammalia; Artiodactyla; Bovidae. The record is from Rfam by way of RNAcentral. RNAcentral also lists the same sequence under 3 other names.
UCCCGGGUGGUCCAGUGGUUAAGACUCCAUGCUUCUAAUGCAGGAGACACAGGUUCAAUUCCUGGUCAGGGAG